UCUACCUACCAAACUGACGAAGGUCCAAGCAGAGAUUGGCUCCCUCCACUAGUGUGGUGUUUCGGCAGAUGGUCCAUAGGUUGAAGUACAUGUACACUGGCAGUGAAGUGAAAGCUGUGACGCCAAGCCAGGCCAACAUGAAGAGAAAUCUUAUCAUGAAGCUGUAUGACUACCAUCAUUGAAGGAAAUGUUACUUCACUAAAGAAUGCUUUAACUCUCUGCUGGUGAGUGCAAACAUCUGUGUGAUAUGAAAAUCAACCUCCAUUACAUGCUGAGUGCAGAGAAAUGACAUACCCAGGCGCUCACACAGCGGCCACAGGUGGUGAUUUUGAAGUCCCCAUAGAGAUCUUUGAUGGCCCCAGUUGUGAAGAAGCCUUCCACCAUCAGCAAGAUGCCAUAGACAAAGAAAGCAGCUGCGAUGCCAUAGAUCACAUACUUAAAGAUGUCAAUCCUGGAGACAAAAAAGAAAACCCCCAAACAGCACGAUUUAUUUCAAAGAUUUUCAAAAACUGAUCCUCAUGUGUUCAUGGUUCUUUUGAAAUGAAAUCAGAAGAGAUGCAUAAAAUCAAGCAUCCAAAAUCUCUGCAUGGAUCAAGGAGAAGCUACUGGUAGUUGAUACCUCAUGGGAGAGGGGAAGUCACUUUUCUUCAGGGAUAUGAUCCCUGAGAGGUUGACCAGGCUCCAGUAUACGGUCCUACACCCAUGCACAUCCAGGCAGCACUAAAUGGACUCAGUGAAUAUUAAAUUAAAAAAACAGAGAGGGAGAGUGCCUGAAGUUCAGAGGAAAGAAGUAGAGGAAUAUGAGGGAGGGCAGAGGGAUGGACUGAAUUGGAUCCAAACACACUGUAUUAUUGGAUGAUAAAAUUAAAGUAAAAUAACAUUGGUAUUCAUAAAGGUAGGUGGAUUAUAAACAGUUGUGUUUUAUA
This is a long non-coding RNA of Peromyscus eremicus (cactus mouse), 926 nucleotides long. RefSeq lists it as uncharacterized. The record is from RefSeq and is a predicted model, not a curated record. The transcript has 2 exons. Lineage: Eukaryota; Metazoa; Chordata; Mammalia; Rodentia; Cricetidae.